This 23-nucleotide unclassified non-coding RNA is filed under the name Mus musculus (house mouse). RNAcentral's name for it is "oocyte_clustered_small_RNA12952". Lineage: Eukaryota; Metazoa; Chordata; Mammalia; Rodentia; Muridae. The record is from RNAcentral.
UGACGAUGUGCGCAGUGCCAGAG